GGUUUACAUAGUGAAAUGGUAAACACAUUUGUCUUGAAAACAAAGGAUUGCAGGUUCGAGUCCUGCUGUAAUUAAUACCUA
Molecule: transfer RNA, 81 nt
Filed under: Caudoviricetes sp.
Lineage: Duplodnaviria; Heunggongvirae; Uroviricota; Caudoviricetes
Description: tRNA-Ser
Rfam family: tRNA
About the family: Transfer RNA (tRNA) molecules are approximately 80 nucleotides in length. Their secondary structure includes four short double-helical elements and three loops (D, anti-codon, and T loops).
Source: RNAcentral